CCUACGGGAGGCAGCAGUGAGGAAUAUUGGUCAAUGGACGAGAGUCUGAACCAGCCAAGUAGCGUGAAGGAUGACUGCCCUAUGGGUUGUAAACUUCUUUUAUAAAGGGACAAAAUCAGGCUCGAGAGCCUGACCGAGGGUACUUGAAGAAAAAGCAUCGGCUAACUCCGUGCCAGCAGCCGCGGUAAUACGGAGGAUGCGAGCGUUAUCCGGAUUUAUUGGGUUUAAAGGGUGCGUAGGCGGACUGUUAAGUCAGCGGUAAAAGCCCGGGGCUCAACCCCGGCGAGCCGUUGAAACUGGCUGUCUUGAGAUGUCGAGAGGUAUGCGGAAUGCGCAGUGUAGCGGUGAAAUGCUUAGAUAUUGCGCAGAACUCCGAUUGCGAAGGCAGCAUACCGGCGGCGAUCUGACGCUGAGGCACGAAAGCGUGGGUAUCGAACAGGAUUAGAUACCCUAGUAGUC
This 459-nucleotide ribosomal RNA is filed under the name uncultured bacterium. Its description in RNAcentral is "partial 16S ribosomal RNA". It matches the Rfam family "Bacterial small subunit ribosomal RNA", at positions 338 to 795 of the family's 1533-position model. The record is from RNAcentral.